Molecule: ribosomal RNA, 519 nt
Filed under: uncultured bacterium
Lineage: Bacteria
Description: bacterial SSU rRNA
Rfam family: Bacterial small subunit ribosomal RNA
Source: RNAcentral
UGGGGAAUAUUGCACAAUGGGCGCAAGCCUGAUGCAGCAAUGCCGCGUGAGUGAAGACGGCCUUAGGGUUGUAAAACUCUUUCGCUAGGGAAGAUAAUGACGGUACCUAGUAAAGAAGUCCCGGCUAACUCCGUGCCAGCAGCCGCGGUAAUACGGAGGGGACUAGCGUUGUUCGGAAUUACUGGGCGUAAAGAGUUCGUAGGCGGACUAGCAAGUUAGAGGUGAAAUCCCAGGGCUCAACCUUGGAACUGCCUCCAAAACUAUUGGUCUAGAGUUCGAGAGAGGUGAGUGGAAUUCCAAGUGUAGAGGUGAAAAUUUCGUAGAUAUUUGGAGGAACACCAGUGGCGAAGGCGGCUCACUGGCUCGAUACUGACGCUGAGGUGCGAAAGUGUGGGGAGCAAACAGGAUUUAGAUACCCUGGUAGUCCACACCGUAAACGAUGAAUGCCAGUCGUCGGGUAGCAUGCUAUUCGGUGACACACCUAACGGAUUAAGCAUUCCGCCUGGGGAGUACGGUCGC